CUUUUCGAAGCCCACCACUGUUUCCUUCGCUUCGUUUCCUCCAAUGCAUCCCAACGAGCCCAACACUGUAACAUGAUUAUUUCCUGCUUGCUGGGUUCCAAAAUGCCGCAGAAGAUGUGAAGGUUAGGCGUUGUUUGUAUGAUUUUAAGCCCGAGUGGGUGCCUCUUGGGGAAUUAGAACGUUUAACCAUUAAUGAAGAAGAACCGAAGUUGAAGGUUUCUUUUCUUCACUGUGAUGCAAGGGUUCAAACUUUUUUAGCCUGCCCAGAACCGAAGUUGAAGGUUUCUUUUCUUCACUGUGAUGCAAGGGUUCAAACUUUUUCAGCCUGCCCAAAACUCAAGUUCGACUGCUCUCCCCUAAGUGUAACCAUGACUCAUCUCUCCGGCGCGAUUCAUGUGGCGUCUCUCGGCUUAUCCAAAUUCCAUUCAUUUUCACAGUGUGCUUGACAAUUAAAAGGAUAACAGGAAAAUGGAAUGAUACUGAUUCUGAUCAAAACAGCAAGUUCUUCGGAGGAGAGUACUGAUACUGAUCAAAACAACCAGUUCAUCAGUUUAUAUUCUUAUUGCUGUAAUGUAUGUUGUGUACAAGUUUUUAUAAUGUAUGUUGUAAUGUAUACGUUGUGUACAAGUUUUUAUAAUGCAAUAUUGAGGUUCUGUUUCAUUAUUGGAUGAAUUUUUCAUGUAAUGUUCUCUUGGAUGUACUUCUCAUUUUAAGUUUCAUGACAAAAAAAUUGAGCAAUUUGUAAUUGUCCAGCAGGUAAUUG
Molecule: long non-coding RNA, 763 nt
Organism: Pistacia vera
Lineage: Eukaryota; Viridiplantae; Streptophyta; Magnoliopsida; Sapindales; Anacardiaceae
Exons: 4
Source: RefSeq, a predicted model, not a curated record